Molecule: ribosomal RNA, 1452 nt
Filed under: uncultured rumen bacterium
Lineage: Bacteria
Description: 16S ribosomal RNA
Rfam family: Bacterial small subunit ribosomal RNA
Source: RNAcentral
GAUGAACGCUAGCUACAGGCUUAACACAUGCAAGUCGAGGGGCAGCAUGGUCUUAGCUUGCUAAGACUGAUGGCGACCGGCGCACGGGUGAGUAACGCGUAUCCAACCUUCCCCGCAGUAGGGGAUAGCCCGGCGAAAGUCGGAUUAAUACCCUAUGUGUCCCAAGAUAGCAUUUGAUUGGGACGAAAGAUUGAUCGCUGCGGGAUGGGGAUGCGUCUGAUUAGGCAGCAGGCGGGGUGACGGCCCACCUGGCCGACGAUCAGUAGGGGUUCUGAGAGGAAGGUCCCCCACAUUGGAACUGAGACACGGUCCAAACUCCUACGGGAGGCAGCAGUGAGGAAUAUUGGUCAAUGGGCGCAGGCCUGAACCAGCCAAGUAGCGUGAGGGACGACGGCCCUACGGGUUGUAAACCUCUUUUGCCGGGGGAUAAAGUUCGCCAUGCGUGGCGUUUUGCAUGUACCCGGAGAAUAAGGACCGGCUAAUUCCGUGCCAGCAGCCGCGGUAAUACGGAAGGUCCGGGCGUUAUCCGGAUUUAUUGGGUUUAAAGGGAGCGCAGGCCGGAUGUUAAGCGUGACGUGAAAUGCCGCGGCUCAACCGUGGAAGUGCGUCGCGAACUGGCGUCCUUGAGUGUGGACGACGUAGGCGGAAUUCGUGGUGUAGCGGUGAAAUGCUUAGAUAUCACGAAGAACCCCGAUUGCGAAGGCAGCCUACGAGGCCUCUACUGACGCUAAAGCUCGAAGGUGCGGGGUAUCGAACAGGAUUAGAUACCCUGGUAGUCCGCACGGUAAACGAUGGAAUGCCCGCUGUCGGCGACACACUGUCGGCGGCCAAGCGAAAGCGUUAAGCAUCCCACCUGGGGAGUACGCCGGCAACGGUGAAACUCAAAGGAAUUGACGGGGGCCCGCACAAGCGGAGGAGCAUGUGGUUUAAUUCGAUGAUACGCGAGGAACCUUACCCGGGCUUGAACUGCAGGGGGACGAUCCAGAGAUGGUGAGGUCAGCAAUGACCCCUGUGGAGGUGCUGCAUGGUUGUCGUCAGCUCGUGCCGUGAGGUGUCGGCUUAAGUGCCAUAACGAGCGCAACCCCUUUUGCCAGUUGCCAUCAGGUUAGGCUGGGCACUCUGGCGACACUGCCGCCGUAAGGUGUGAGGAAGGUGGGGAUGACGUCAAAUCAGCACGGCCCUUACGUCCGGGGCUACACACGUGUUACAAUGGGUGGUACAGAGCGUCAGUGCUGCGCAAGCCGCAUUCAAUCGUGAAAUCCGCCCUCAGUUCGGAUUGGGGUCUGCAACCCGACCCCAUGAAGCUGGAUUCGCUAGUAAUCGCGCAUCAGCCAUGGCGCGGUGAAUACGUUCCCGGGCCUUGUACACACCGCCCGUCAAGCCAUGAAAGCCUGGGGCGCCUGAAGUCCGUGACCGCGAGGGUCGGCCUAGGGUGAAACAGGUGAUUGGGGC